This 84-nucleotide transfer RNA is filed under the name Gemmatimonadota bacterium. Its description in RNAcentral is "Gemmatimonadetes bacterium (groundwater metagenome) tRNA-Val". It matches the Rfam family "tRNA". Rfam says of the family: Transfer RNA (tRNA) molecules are approximately 80 nucleotides in length. Their secondary structure includes four short double-helical elements and three loops (D, anti-codon, and T loops). The record is from RNAcentral. Lineage: Bacteria; Pseudomonadati; Gemmatimonadota.
ACCGGCGUGGCGAAAUCGGCAAACGCUGAGGCAUCACACACCUCUGGACUCACGCCCUUGCGGGUUCGAAUCCCGCCGCCGGUA